UCCAGAGGGUGCGGUCGUUAAUCGGAAUUACUGGGCGUAAAGCGCACGUAGGGGGCGACGUAAGUCGGGUGUGAAAGCCCCGGGCUCAACCUGGGAAUUGCAUUCGAGACUGCAUUGCUGGAGUACGGAAGAGGAGGGCGGAAUUCCCGGUGUAGCGGUGAAAUGCGUAGAUAUCGGGAGGAACAUCAGUGGCGAAGGCGGCCCUCUGGACCAGUACUGACACUCAAGUGCGAAAGCGUGGGGAGAAAACAGG
Molecule: ribosomal RNA, 253 nt
Filed under: uncultured bacterium
Lineage: Bacteria
Description: partial 16S ribosomal RNA
Rfam family: Bacterial small subunit ribosomal RNA
Source: RNAcentral